RNAcentral lists this ribosomal RNA (429 nucleotides) under Chloroflexota bacterium. RNAcentral's name for it is "Chloroflexi bacterium partial 16S ribosomal RNA". It matches the Rfam family "Bacterial small subunit ribosomal RNA", at positions 355 to 776 of the family's 1533-position model. The record is from RNAcentral. Lineage: Bacteria; Bacillati; Chloroflexota.
UGGGGAAUAUUGCACAAUGGGCGCAAGCCUGAUGCAGCCAUGCCGCGUGUGUGAAGAAGGCCUUCGGGUUGUAAAGCACUUUCAGCGGGGAGGAAGGCGAUAAGGUUAAUAACCUUGUCGAUUGACGUUACCCGCAGAAGAAGCACCGGCUAACUCCGUGCCAGCAGCCGCGGUAAUACGGAGGGUGCAAGCGUUAAUCGGAAUUACUGGGCGUAAAGCGCACGCAGGCGGUCUGUCAAGUCGGAUGUGAAAUCCCCGGGCUCAACCUGGGAACUGCAUACGAAACUGGCAGGCUAGAGUCUUGUAGAGGGGGGUAGAAUGCCAGGUGUAGCGGUGAAAUGCGUAGAGAUCUGGAGGAAUACCGGUGGCGAAGGCGGCCCCCUGGACAAAGAAUGACGCUCAGGUGCGAAAGCGUGGGGAGCAAACAGG